This is a non-coding RNA of Leopardus geoffroyi (Geoffroy's cat), 765 nucleotides long. Lineage: Eukaryota; Metazoa; Chordata; Mammalia; Carnivora; Felidae. The record is from the annotation of a RefSeq genome assembly.
GCUCCUCCUGUGGCAGAGGGUGGAGGAGAAAAGGAGGCCCGGGGCAGCCCAGCCCAGUGUGGGUACUAUGGUCUAUGUCACCAUGGCUUGGACUCUUCUAGUCCUCAUGCUUCUGUCUCAAUGGACAGUUUCCCUGUCCCAGCCUGUGCUGACCCAGCCGUCCUCCCUGUCUGCAUCUCCGGGAACAACAGCCAGACUCACCUGCACCCUGAGCAGUGGCUACAACGUUGGCGGCUACCACAUAUACUGGUACCAGCAGAAACAAGGGACCUCUCCCCGGUAUCUACUGAGGUUCUACUCAGACUCAAAUAAGCACCAGGGCCCUGGGGUCCCCAGCCGCUUCUCUGGGUCCAAAGAUGCCUCGGCCAAUGCAGGGCUUCUGCUCAUCUCUGGGCCGCAGCCUGAGGACGAGGCUGACUAUUACUGUGCUACAAGUUAUGGCAGUGGGAGCAGCUACCAUUACUCACAGUGACACAGAUAACGAGGAAGUGAGACCAAAACCCCUGGGUCCACAGUCCUUGUCUCCGAGCCUCUUUUUUUGAGAAGCUUCUGUGGAGGCUCCUGUAGGGGAGAGUCCUCUAUGGUGAGACCUGUCCUUGAGGAGGUUGAAGUGACACACAAGAAAUUUAAUAGAGAACAUUUGGGAAUCAACGGAGACCUAGAAAGUCAAAAGACACGCAGGCAAAAUGAGAUCUAUGUUUUUCUGAAUUACAUGGAAGGAGGUAGGGGUCUAGUAUUCAAUGCAAAGAAAUGCACAUCACGGAC